GGAUGGACCUGCGGUCAUUUGGAUGUUUGUAGAGCUCUUGCAAAAAGACCAUGCCAGAAGAGAGGACUUCACAGCUGCAACAUCAUCCUCAAGAUUCCUUCUACCUUUCUGUGGGCAACGGUGGCUCGAACAUUUGCCAGCUGUCGAACGAGCAUUGGAAGUCUGGCCCUCUGUUGUGAAAUAUGUGGACCUUGUGAAGUCAGAAAAGGUGAAAAACCCAGGGACAUCUUCUUUUGACUGCAUUUCUGAAGCCCAAAUGGAUCCCCUUCUUCUGGCCAAACUACAUCUGGUAGCUACACAAAGAUUCUGGAAAUUUGACAAACCAUCUUUUUGUCAGAGACAGUCAGGAGCCAAAGGCAGUGGAAGUGACCUUGGUGUCCUUCAGAUUAAAAAAAACUUGUUUUUUGAACCAGAUUGUGCUCUUGAAAAUCUGCAAAAAGGCCUUGGAUAAAUGCCCUCUGAAGUACUCGAUUGUACAUGAGAUGACGUGCUUGGACCCAAACAAAAUGCACACCAGCCAGAUAACUGCCAGCAGAAAAGGAGAAAUCUCAUGCAGAAGUUUGCGCAGGAGAAUCGGUUGGCAGGCAGGAUAUCUGCUGGUGAUGCAAUAUCCCAGCAGUCUGAUAAUCACCUGCACAAUGAGGCAAAAGGCUUGGAUUUUAUAUCCUUCAUUCCUUCAGCACCAUCCAAAGUUGAUGUCUUUUUCCAUCAAAAAGUUAGUGGGCCUUAUCCUGACCUCUGGAUGUUCUGCAAGAACUUGCUGCUACUGUCCUAUGGGCAAGUCGAAGUGGAACGAAUAGAGGUGGAGACCUGCAACUUAUCAGAGGAAACAGUUGUUGCACAGAGGCUUAUAUGCGACCAUGUCAGAGUGUGUGGGGGAGCAACCAAAGCGCCUCUGACCAAAGGUGAAAGAUGAGCAAAAAGCAAAAAAGAAAACUUGAGGAACUCAAGAGGAAGAGAGUCUCACUGGAAAGUGUAUGUGAGAGUUUACAAAAGGAUGCUGAGCACAUGGCAGAGGAAGCAGAGAGUGCUGCUGGAACCAAAAGGGCAACAUUACUUACCAAGUCCAAUACUCUGAGGCGACGAGCGAAGGAGGAGAAAGAGCAGUUGGUGGUCUUAAAGGCAGAUACUGAAGAGUGGGCUACUGCACUGCGACUCCUAGCACAU
Brienomyrus brachyistius is the source of this 1167-nucleotide long non-coding RNA. RefSeq lists it as uncharacterized. The transcript has 3 exons. NCBI's taxonomy places the organism in Eukaryota, Metazoa, Chordata, Actinopteri, Osteoglossiformes, Mormyridae. The record is from RefSeq and is a predicted model, not a curated record.